UAAACGGCGGCCGUAACUAUAACGGUCCUAAGGUAGCGAAAUUCCUUGUCGGGUAAGUUCCGACCUGCACGAAUGGCGUAAUGAUGGCCAGGCUGUCUCCACCCGAGACUCAGUGAAAUUGAACUCGCUGUGAAGAUGCAGUGUACCCGCGGCAAGACGGAAAGACCCCGUGAACCUUUACUAUAGCUUGACACUGAACAUUGAGCCUUGAUGUGUAGGAUAGGUGGGAGGCUUUGAAGCGUGGACGCCAGUCUGCGUGGAGCCAACCUUGAAAUACCACCCUUUAAUGUUUGAUGUUCUAACGUUGGCCCCUUACCGGGGUUGCGGACAGUGUCUGGUGGGUAGUUUGACUGGGGCGGUCUCCUCCCAAAGCGUAACGGAGGAGCACGAAGGUUAGCUAAUCCUGGUCGGACAUCAGGAGGUUAGUGCAAUGGCAUAAGCUAGCUUGACUGCGAGCGUGACGGCGCGAGCAGGUGCGAAAGCAGGUCAUAGUGAUCCGGUGGUUCUGAAUGGAAGGGCCAUCGCUCAACGGAUAAAAGGUACUCCGGGGAUAACAGGCUGAUACCGCCCAAGAGUUCAUAUCGACGGCGGUGUUUGGCACCUCGAUGUCGGCUCAUCACAUCCUGGGGCUGAAGUAGGUCCCAAGGGUAUGGCUGUUCGCCAUUUAAAGUGGUACGCGAGCUGGGUUUAGAACGUCGUGAGACAGUUCGGUCCCUAUCUGCCGUGGGCGCUGGAGAAUUGAGGGGGGCUGCUCCUAGUACGAGAGGACCGGAGUGGACGCAUCACUGGUGUUCGGGUUGUCAUGCCAAUGGCACUGCCCGGUAGCUAAAUGCGGAAGAGAUAAGUGCUGAAAGCAUCUAAGCACGAAACUUGCCCCGAGAUGAGUUCUCCCUGAGACUUUAAGUCUCCUGAAGGAACGUUGAAGACGACGACGUUGAUAGGCCGGGUGUGUAAGCGCAGCGAUGCGUUGAGCUAACCGGUACUAAUGAACCGUGAGGCUUAACCUUACAACGCCGAAG
This 1019-nucleotide ribosomal RNA is filed under the name Klebsiella pneumoniae. Its description in RNAcentral is "bacterial LSU rRNA". It matches the Rfam family "Bacterial large subunit ribosomal RNA", at positions 1924 to 2925 of the family's 2925-position model. The record is from RNAcentral. Lineage: Bacteria; Pseudomonadati; Pseudomonadota; Gammaproteobacteria; Enterobacterales; Enterobacteriaceae.